UUUUGGCGCUUCAAAGGAAGGGAGCUGCAGCUGUGGCAGCGCUGGAAGGGUGGAAACUGGGCUGUGCUGCUGCAUUUGGGGGCACUUCUGCUGCCCCUGGUGCCGGGAGCGCGGCUUCUCAUUUUCCAGCGUUCCUUGCUGUGGGGCUUUUGAGGAAUUUCUUGGAUCAUUUUCUUUUGUUCGUACUUGGUGUAUGAGGAGGGCCAUGGGGUACUUCUUGGUUGUUACAGUUCUUGCUCCAGGUGCUGAUGACAAGGGUUUUUUUGGAUUGAGCGUUGUUGUAGGAUUUCUUUUUGAUUGGUUCUUAUGUUUUUAAAGGAUGUGCUUUUAAAAGUUUACAGUGGUUUCUAUGGGUUGUAGCAUGAAGUAGAGGGUAGGUUUUUAAUUUGGUUGUGGAGGCUUUUAUUAGCGGGAGUAUGUAGUGUUUGUUUAGGUUAGUUUGAAGUAGUCCUGUAGUUAAUUAGUGAGGUUUUUUAAUAUUGAUAAUUGCAUUUUUGCUUAUUAUAUUAUAGGGGUUUGAUUUAUUUGCCUCAUUUGAUUGCCAUGUAUUGUUUUAUUUUUGCAGAGAGUUUGGUAGAUAUUGUUUAUGGUUACAUUUAUCUUUUGGCCACGUGUUUAUUUCUAGGUGGUAUUUGUGUUUUGGUGAUUUGAGGCAUUAUGGGUUUCUUGAGUUUAGAAUAAUUAUUUUGUUGUUGUUAGUAUAAGCUUUUUGGUUGUUUUUUUUUUUUUUUCUAGUUUCAUGUAUUUGGUUGUCAUUUUUUAUUAAUUUUAUUUUUGGGAACAUGGGUAUUUCUCUGGUGGAUUUUUUAAGGGACACAUCCUUUGCCAAUUGGAUUUUUUGCAGGUGGCCGCCCCCUCAGGACCACAGGCCCCUGAGCACAAACACUGUCCCUUUUCCCUGGGAAAGAAAACUCGCCAGCCCAGCAGCACAACACAGCAAGCCUAACAGCGAGACCACACUGGAACCCUCCCGCUGGGACAGGGCAGCGACCCUCGCACCAGGAACACGCCAGAACCCUCAGAGGACAACAGGACCUGCUGCAUAAAGGUAGGGAUGACAUCUGUGGGCUAGAGAGCAACAGGAAGGGGUUUGGAGGCUGAGCAGGCUUCCUUGAGUUUUUUGCAGGACUAUUAGGAAUAUUUAGAGGAUUUUUCAGCUUUCUGGAGGAGAUACAGGGCACAGAAAAAAAUCAAGUCCCAAGCUUUGUACUGUCAGUUUGCAAGGGGCAUUUGGCACCAAAAAAACCCCAGAGUAACUGGGAGGCAGAUAUGGUCUGGGAGAAAUCCUGCGCUGUUUGGACAAUGAGGAGGCAAAAGGCCACUCAGAGCCUGAUACCCCGCGGGGGUGGGGGGUGGGGUGUGCAGGGCCUUGGUUGUGAAUGAGGGAUAUCUACCUUGAGAAAGUAAAGCCAGCAGCCCAGGUUGCUGGUGUCAGUUUGUAGGGUUCACUUGGGACUGUCAGGGCAGCACAAGUUUGAGGUGGGAGCAGACUGGGUCUGGGACACAUCCUUUGAUGUUCGGAUUUUUGCAGUCAGCUGCUUGCUUAGGGCCACGGAGCCAUGAGCACAAACACCAGCCCUUAUUUUUGCAAAGAAAACUCGC
Molecule: long non-coding RNA, 1602 nt
Filed under: Taeniopygia guttata (zebra finch)
Lineage: Eukaryota; Metazoa; Chordata; Aves; Passeriformes; Estrildidae
Description: lncRNA (ENSTGUG00000025246.1)
Source: RNAcentral